UGGUUUCUCGCUCGCUGGUGACUGAGAAGGCAGAAGGAGUGGUUGUUAAUUUUAAUUUGUUGCGGCCUCGCCUCGCCUCUCCCCUUUGCUUUCUUUUUAGACCGGAACGGAACGAGGAGGCCGGCCCGCUAAGGCGAGGCCGCGGCGGUCCACGAAGCGAAGAACGGAACGAGGCCAGGAAGCGGCAGCAGGCAGGCAGGUUCCGAGGUUCUUUCGCUCCGCGGUAAGGACCCGAGGCGGCGAGCUAAAGGAGUGGGUGCGGUGCGGUGCGGUCCGGUCCUGUCCAGUUCAGUUCACGAUAUAGUCCCUGUUAAAGUUCACAACUUCCAGUGGUGAUCGGGUAACCGAGCUACCCGCAGCUCCUCGUUCUACACGUCGUUGGCCUGCCGCCACCUUUCGGACUAUGGCGGCGGUUCAGUGGUUGAGGCCUUGUGCCAGUCGUUUUUGGCUCGUUGGGGGCACAUAGUUGGACGUCGUGACUGUUCCUGCUACCGGAGCGAGAGACGGCCCACACGGUGACGCACCUCGGACUAGACUCUCCGCUCAGACGUGACCCAAAGAAUCCGUAGCAUGGCGGAAGAGGUCUGUGGAGCCGGCUGUUCCUGGGUUCGUUACUGUGGUGGUUUUGAAGGUGGUCGUUCCUACGAGGGUGUAAAGAACUCAAGUAUUCGGGGCUCCCCCUUUAGAAGUUCACACGGUGGCUGUAGCUUAGUCCGGUAAACGUUGCCGUUCUGCUGUAGCACUUGGAGCCUACGAGAACGUUCUUGCUCGACCGGGAGCGUGUGAUGCGCACGCGCGAGUUCACCAAGUAGUCGGUGCCCAGGUGGCACACGCUCUAAACGCCUUUGCAGCGGUGUUUGCACUCCGGGCUCCUAAAGUUGUACCACGAACGCAGGAACUUCCUGAUGCUUCGAGACUCCCUUUCCUGCAGGUGGCCCCUAGACAGGAUGAACGUGAUGGCCCGCCUGCGCAAGCAGCUAGGCCAGCGGGAGCGCCGUCAUGCCUCUGUCGCCGAUACGCUCUAUAGUAGUACCAAGUUGGGAGUGUUAUGUGUAAAGCACAAAAGACUCUCCGUGUUGCUUCUUCACGGUCAGUCGGGUUCAUUAUUAAGACAUCUGAUAUCACAAUGCCGACGCUCCCGUCGUGUACGCUCCGCCUUCAAGCCCUCAUCACCUCGAAAACAACGAUAGCGGGACCCAAAACAAGAAGAACGUACCAAACAACGAGGUGUACAACCGUUCUCUCGACGACGCUAGUAAGAAGUAUACGAAGACCCUCCGGAGACGAGUGACUGAUAUUAUUAGAGUGAUUCUAAACAGAAGGGCUCUUAGGUCAAACCCAGCUAUGCUACGACCCGCUAGGACAAGCACAGGACCAAGGAGCAGAAGCCUCACACCCGGAGCGCUUGGGCGUGGCGGGCGGCGCGAAGUACUACUAUAGCUCGCACGGGAGUCACUCAACAGCACUCCUUAAUCCUGGCGCGCAGCGUUCUCAUCGCAGGUGCUGUCGCAAUCGAUGACGUGGGGGCAGAUAUAAGCGGCGAUCGAUAUCGAUAUGGUACCUGCAUGAUAAUAAAAAAACAUCGACCUCAAACAUUCUACAUGAUCUACAAACCCGUUCUUUUGUACCCCUCGAUACAAUGGCUCACAACACCCUUCGACGAAAACCAAAGUCUGUACCGACCACAUCAUGACCCGACCGGUCACAACGAUUUGUUAUGUCAUUACAUAUAUAAUAUAAAUCGACAAAAAGAACUAACUUUUGUAAGUAUCGACCACCUAGAAAGAAGUGGUCUUAUUCACUAGGCUUACUUCGACCCGGAAAAAAUAUACCAGAUUCCCCGACAAACCAAAGGGACCCUAGACGGAGACCAGACAAGACAAACCAAACACAGGACUGCCAAAGUUGCGACCGGACCGGACCGAACUUCUUCUACUCUUGUAGUAAUCGGUUUGUCGGGCUCUGCAAGGACAGCCGAUGCUCCGCAGAAACUGCUGAAACAUUUUAGAAUUCUACUAUACAGCUGGAUCGGAAAACUUUCACGAGUAUCCCCCAUCCUACACGGAAUAUACCGACUCACAUGCGCACACAUAUAUUCGCAAACGCAAACAUGACACAAAUCUUUUCUUUUCAGUUUCCUUGUCGGACUAAACAA
Molecule: ribosomal RNA, 2155 nt
Filed under: Triticum aestivum (bread wheat)
Lineage: Eukaryota; Viridiplantae; Streptophyta; Magnoliopsida; Poales; Poaceae
Description: partial small subunit ribosomal RNA
Source: RNAcentral